UACGUAGGGUGCAAGCGUUAAUCGGAAUUACUGGGCGUAAAGCGUGUGUAGGCGGUUCGGAAAGAAAGAUGUGAAAUCCCAGGGCUCAACCUUGGAACUGCAUUUUUAACUGCCGAGCUAGAGUAUGUCAGAGGGGGGUAGAAUUCCACGUGUAGCAGUGAAAUGCGUAGAUAUGUGGAGGAAUACCGAUGGCGAAGGCAGCCCCCUGGGAUAAUACUGACGCUCAGACACGAAAGCGUGGGGAGCAAACAGGAUUAGAUACCCUGGUAGUCCACGCCCUAAACGAUGUCAACUAGCUGUUGGGGCCGUUAGGCCUUAGUAGCGCAGCUAACGCGUGAAGUUGACCGCCUGGGGAGUACGGUCGCAAGAUUAAAACUCAAAGGAAUUGACGGGGACCCGCACAAGCGGUGGAUGAUGUGGAUUAAUUCGAUGCAACGCGAAAAACCUUACCUACCCUUGACAUGUCUGGAAAGCCGAAGAGAUUUGGCCGUGCUCGCAAGAGAACCGGAACACAGGUGCUGCAUGGCUGUCGUCAGCUCGUGUCGUGAGAUGUUGGGUUAAGUCCCGCAACGAGCGCAACCCUUGUCAUUAGUUGCUACGCAAGAGCACUCUAAUGAGACUGCCGGUGACAAACCGGAGGAAGGUGGGGAUGACGUCAAGUCCUCAUGGCCCUUAUGGGUAGGGCUUCACACGUCAUACAAUGGUCGGGACAGAGGGUCGCCAACCCGCGAGGGGGAGCCAAUCUCAGAAACCCGAUCGUAGUCCGGAUCGCAGUCUGCAACUCGACUGCGUGAAGUCGGAAUCGCUAGUAAUCGCGGAUCAGAAUGUCGCGGUGAAUACGUUCCCGGGUC
Molecule: ribosomal RNA, 851 nt
Filed under: uncultured bacterium
Lineage: Bacteria
Description: bacterial SSU rRNA
Rfam family: Bacterial small subunit ribosomal RNA
Source: RNAcentral